GUUACUUGAAAACAAAUAUUUGGAGGCUACCACAUAUUCUUGAUUAUUGAGAGCCAGUGAAGAAAGAAAACAAAUAUCUGCAGUAAGAGAAAAACAUUGGUAAAGAAGUGAAGGGAUGUGCAGCCGGUUCUGUGGACUUCAGGAAUUUUGCAAUCAACUCUAAUGAGAUCUGGAUGCAGAGCUAUUCCGAGUUUCCUAUGGAAAUUUUACUGAAUUGCAUUUCAUGAGAUUCUGCUGUCUCCUGAUGGUAUUUGGCAUGGGCCUGCCUGCUUCCCUACAGGACUCAGAGCAACACAACUGUCCUGAGGUGGUCAUUUGCCCUCUUGCUCGGAAAGAAACAGGUACAGUUAAAGCAUUGUGAUACUUCAAAUGGGUGUUUCUUGAGAUAACAGAGAACCAUGGGAUAGAUCAUCACUUUUUUGGUUAAUAUUUCUUCAAAGUGUCACAAUGGCUCAAUGAGCGAAUGCAACAAGCUGUGGGAGCACAGCUGGCUUUUCAGGUGCUGGAAAUAGGCAGAGGGCGUCCACACUGUGUGAGGGUGCUUCCCCCAACGUCUGGGUUCCUUAAAGUGAAAUAAAGUUAAGAUUUGUUGGCA
RNAcentral lists this long non-coding RNA (595 nucleotides) under Anas platyrhynchos platyrhynchos (common mallard). Its description in RNAcentral is "lncRNA (ENSAPLG00000018883.1)". The record is from RNAcentral. Lineage: Eukaryota; Metazoa; Chordata; Aves; Anseriformes; Anatidae.